CGGGGUAGCUCAGUUGGUUAGAGCGUGGGACUCAUAAACCCAAGGUCACAGGUUCAAUUCCUGUCCUCGGC
RNAcentral lists this transfer RNA (71 nucleotides) under marine eukaryotic metagenome. It matches the Rfam family "tRNA". Rfam says of the family: Transfer RNA (tRNA) molecules are approximately 80 nucleotides in length. Their secondary structure includes four short double-helical elements and three loops (D, anti-codon, and T loops). The record is from RNAcentral.